GCCGAUGUGGCGGAAUUGGUAGACGCAGCGGAUUCAAAAUCCGCCGGGAGCAAUCCCUUGUCGGUUCAAGUCCGACCAUCGGUACCA
This 87-nucleotide transfer RNA is filed under the name Leptospiraceae bacterium. RNAcentral's name for it is "tRNA-Leu". It matches the Rfam family "tRNA". From Rfam's summary of the family: Transfer RNA (tRNA) molecules are approximately 80 nucleotides in length. Lineage: Bacteria; Pseudomonadati; Spirochaetota; Leptospiria; Leptospirales; Leptospiraceae. The record is from RNAcentral.